Molecule: transfer RNA, 74 nt
Filed under: Candidatus Azobacteroides pseudotrichonymphae genomovar. CFP2
Lineage: Bacteria; Pseudomonadati; Bacteroidota; Bacteroidia; Bacteroidales
Description: tRNA-Gln
Rfam family: tRNA
About the family: Transfer RNA (tRNA) molecules are approximately 80 nucleotides in length. Their secondary structure includes four short double-helical elements and three loops (D, anti-codon, and T loops).
Source: RNAcentral
UGUCCUGUAGUGUAAGGGUAGCACACCAGAUUCUGACUCUGAUAGUAUGGGUUCAAAUCCUAUCGGGACAGCUA